Molecule: long non-coding RNA, 976 nt
Organism: Rosa chinensis
Lineage: Eukaryota; Viridiplantae; Streptophyta; Magnoliopsida; Rosales; Rosaceae
Exons: 3
Source: RefSeq, a predicted model, not a curated record
GAUCAAGGAGAGAGAGAGAGAGAGAGAGUGAGUGGGAGAACGAGCUCUAGCCCACCACCGUCCACCUUUUCCGUCGCCGGCGCCUAUUCCGGCCAAAUCUGGCCAAAAUUUUUACACCAUUCUCUUUCUCUCUUCAUGGGCUUUCUAUUGAUAUAUGUUUCAAGACCUAUCAUCAAGUGUGCGCGACGAAUCGAAGGAGAGAAGAUUGAGUGAUUUUCCGACUAUUUUUCAAAUUCCUGCCAAACCAUUGAGAAUUUGGAGAAACCCCAAGGUAAUCCAAUUGAGCAAGCUUCCGAUGACAUUCCCGAGACGGAACUCACCUAGUCACCCUUCAUUGGCUCUUUGGAUUUCUGUUUUGCCCAGAUAGUAGAUUUUGCUGAGGUCAGACCGCACCACGUUGAGGCAUUCUCCUUAUCCACCGUCAUCCAUCUUGACUUGUAGGAUUUGUUUCCUUUUGUACUUUUAUAUUUCUUAGUUAAUUAGACCAUGUAACUUAUGCUCUGAUGUAACCAUAAAUUGACUACUGGAUUCCUAAGAUGUAAUUGUUGGGUUAGAACCCCUGGCUUUGGUUGGUGGUGGAUGUUUUUGUGGAGGGCAUGAGGUCCUAUUCGGAAGUUAUUGGAGAUUUAUGAUAUUAGAAGUAUAUUAUUGGAUUUUACAAGUUCUUGGGUAGUCCAUUUUUAGGGGAGGUUAUGUCGAAUUUUCGAUAAAACGUUUCUCUAAUUUAGUCUAUACAGAUCCACCUCAUAUUCCACCUUGGAAUCCGGGAGCGGGUCUGUCAGUCUCUAAAGUGCCAGUCUUAAUUCAGAUCAUGUGAAAUUGAUAAUUAUCUCGAGUUGAAGUAGAGAAAGUGGCUUAUGGAUGAGAAAUUGACUCCUAUUUGUUUGCUGGGAAGUAGCUCUUUUUUCAUACCACAAUUACAUGCCUGGCGGAUGGAGAGCUAGAAGGUGAUUUUUCCUCAAAAGACAAGGAGUUG